AGUGAACGCUGGCGGUAGGCCUAACACAUGCAAGUCGAACGGCAGCACAGUAAGAGCUUGCUCUUACGGGUGGCGAGUGGCGGACGGGUGAGGAAUACAUCGGAAUCUACUUUUUCGUGGGGGAUAACGUAGGGAAACUUACGCUAAUGCCGCAUACGACCUACGGGUGAAAGCAGGGGAUCUUCGGACCUUGCGCGAUUGAAUGAGCCGAUGUCGGAUUAGCUAGUUGGCGGGGUAAAGGCCCACCAAGGCGACGAUCCGUAGCUGGUCUGAGAGGAUGAUCAGCCACACUGGAACUGAGACACGGUCCAGACUCCUAUGGGAGGCAGCAGUGGGGAAUAUUGGACAAUGGGCGCAAGCCUGAUCCAGCCAUACCGCGUGGGUGAAGAAGGCCUUCGGGUUGUAAAGCCCUUUUGUUGGGAAAGAAAAGCAGCAGGUUAAUACCCCGCUGUUCUGACGGUACCCAAAGAAUAAGCACCGGCUAACUUCGUG
RNAcentral lists this ribosomal RNA (492 nucleotides) under uncultured bacterium. Its description in RNAcentral is "partial 16S ribosomal RNA". It matches the Rfam family "Bacterial small subunit ribosomal RNA", at positions 29 to 507 of the family's 1533-position model. The record is from RNAcentral.